GUGUCAGCAGCCGCGGUAAUACCAGCUCUCCGAGUGGUGGGGAUGAUUAUUGGGCCUAAAGCAUCCGUAGCCGGCUGGACAAGUCCCCUGUUAAAUCCAACGAUCCAAUCGUUGGUCUGCGGGGGAUACUGUCCGGCUUGGGGGCGGGAGAGGCCGCCGGUAUUUCCGGGGUAGGGGUGAAAUCCUAUAAUCCCGGGAGGACCACCAGUGGCGAAGGCUGUCGGCUAGAACGCGCCCGACGGGGAGGGAUGAAAGCUGGGGGAGCGAACCGGAUUAGAUACCCGGGUAGUCCCAGCUGUAAACGAUGCAGGCUAGGUGUUAGGGCGGCUACGUGCCGCUCUAGUGCCGCAGGGAAGCCGUUAAGCCUGCCGCCUGGGGAGUACGGUCGCAAGGCUGAAACUCAAAUGAAUUGGCGGGG
RNAcentral lists this ribosomal RNA (418 nucleotides) under uncultured prokaryote. Its description in RNAcentral is "bacterial SSU rRNA". It matches the Rfam family "Archaeal small subunit ribosomal RNA", at positions 455 to 873 of the family's 1478-position model. The record is from RNAcentral.